RNAcentral lists this ribosomal RNA (449 nucleotides) under uncultured bacterium. RNAcentral's name for it is "partial 16S ribosomal RNA". It matches the Rfam family "Bacterial small subunit ribosomal RNA", at positions 29 to 523 of the family's 1533-position model. The record is from RNAcentral.
AAUGAACGCUGGCGGCAUGCCUAACACAUGCAAGUCGAACGAAGCCUUCGGGCUUAGUGGCGCACGGGUGCGUAACGCGUGGGAAUCUGCCCUUGGGUUCGGAAUAACUCUCCGAAAGGAGUGCUAAUACCGGAUGAUGUCGAAAGACCAAAGAUUUAUCGCCCAGGGAUGAGCCCGCGUAGGAUUAGCGAGUUGGUGAGGUAAAAGCUCACCAAGGCGACGAUCCUUAGCUGGUCUGAGAGGAUGAUCAGCCACACUGGGACUGAGACACGGCCCAGACUCCUACGGGAGGCAGCAGUGGGGAAUAUUGGACAAUGGGCGAAAGCCGGAUCCAGCAAUGCCGCGUGAGUGAUGAAGGCCUUAGGGUUGUAAAGCUCUUUUACCCGGGAUGAGAAUGACAGUACCGGGAGAAUAAGCCCCGGCUAACUCCGUGCCAGCCGCCGCAGUAA